This 231-nucleotide unclassified non-coding RNA is filed under the name Hevea brasiliensis (rubber tree). The record is from RNAcentral. Lineage: Eukaryota; Viridiplantae; Streptophyta; Magnoliopsida; Malpighiales; Euphorbiaceae.
UUACAAAGUAAAUGAAACCGUCAAUGUUGUCACAGCAAAAACAACAGAAAUUGGGCAAAGGACGUGGGGAAUUAUGAGAGGUGUAAUGGCAAUGGCUUCACAGAAGGUUGAAGAGUACGCCAAAGAUGGCAUGAACUGGAAGAAUGAUGGCUGGCAACGGAACGAGAAUGAGAAAAAUGGAUAUUAUCAAGAAUUUGAGCAUGAUAACAAAGGAUGGAAUUCUUCUUCUGG